Molecule: ribosomal RNA, 463 nt
Filed under: uncultured bacterium
Lineage: Bacteria
Description: partial 16S ribosomal RNA
Rfam family: Bacterial small subunit ribosomal RNA
Source: RNAcentral
GAUGAACGCUGACAGAAUGCUUAACACAUGCAAGUCUUUGGCGAAGCUGUGCUUGCACAGCCUAGCCAAGGCGGACGGGUGAGUAACGCGUAAGGAACUUGCCCUGCAGUCAGGGAUAACAGACGGAAACGACUGAUAAGACCUGGUAAAGUCAGGCGGACUCAUGUCCAGCCUGAUGAAAAGAGAUGCUGCAGGAGAGCCUUGCGUCCUAUUAGCUUGUUGGUGGGGUAACGGCCCACCAAGGCGAUGAUAGGUAGCCGGCCUGAGAGGGUGGACGGCCACAAGGGGACUGAGAUACGGCCCUUACUCCUACGGGAGGCAGCAGUGGGGAAUAUUGGACAAUAGGGGCAACCCUGAUCCAGCAAUUCUGUGUGCACGAUGAAGGUUUUCGGAUUGUAAAGUGCUUUCAGCAGGGAAGAAAAAAAUGACGGUACCUGCAGAAGAAGCGACGGCUAAAUACGUG